RNAcentral lists this ribosomal RNA (505 nucleotides) under uncultured bacterium. RNAcentral's name for it is "bacterial SSU rRNA". It matches the Rfam family "Bacterial small subunit ribosomal RNA", at positions 24 to 518 of the family's 1533-position model. The record is from RNAcentral.
UCAGGAUGAACGCUAGCUACAGGCUUAACACAUGCAAGCGAGGGGCAGCAGGGCAAUAGCUUGCUAUUGUCGCUGGCGACCGGCGCACGGGUGAGUAACGCGUAUCCAACCUACCCCGCGGUCAGGGACAGCCCGGCGAAAGUCGGAUUAAUACCUGAUGCAGUCAGAAGAGGGCAUCUGAUUUUGACGAAAGAUUCAUCGCCUCGGGAUGGGGGAUGCGUAGGAUUAGGCAGGCGGCGGGGUAACGGCCCACCGCGCCGACGAUCCUUAGGGGUUCUGAGAGGAAGGUCCCCCACACUGGUACUGAGACACGGACCAGACUCCUACGGGAGGCAGCAGUGAGGAAUAUUGGUCAAUGGGCGCGAGCCUGAACCAGCCAAGUAGCGUGCAGGAUGACGGCCCUAUGGGUUGUAAACUGCUUUUAUGCGGGGAUAAAGUGCGGCACGUGUGCCGUUUUGUAGGUACCGCAUGAAUAAGGACCGGCUAAUUCCGUGCCAGCCGCCGC